UGCCAGCCGCCGCGGUAAUACGGAGGGGGUUAGCGUUGUUCGGAAUUACUGGGCGUAAAGCGCGCGUAGGCGGGUCGUUAAGUUAGAGGUGAAAUCCCGGAGCUCAACUCCGGAACUGCCUUUAAUACUGGCGACCUAGAGACCGGUAGAGGUGAGUAGAAUUCCUAGUGUAGAGGUGAAAUUCGUAGAUAUUAGGAAGAAUACCAGUGGCGAAGGCGGCUCACUGGACCGGAACUGACGCUGAGGUGCGAAAGCGUGGGGAGCGAACAGGAUUAGAUA
Molecule: ribosomal RNA, 279 nt
Filed under: uncultured bacterium
Lineage: Bacteria
Description: partial 16S ribosomal RNA
Rfam family: Bacterial small subunit ribosomal RNA
Source: RNAcentral